RNAcentral lists this ribosomal RNA (459 nucleotides) under uncultured bacterium. RNAcentral describes it as "partial 16S ribosomal RNA". It matches the Rfam family "Bacterial small subunit ribosomal RNA", at positions 338 to 795 of the family's 1533-position model. The record is from RNAcentral.
CCUACGGGAGGCAGCAGUGAGGAAUAUUGGUCAAUGAGCGAGAGCCUGAACCAGCCAAGUCGCGUGAGGGAUGACGGUCCUAUGGAUUGUAAGCCUCUUUUGUCGGGGAACACAGGCGUCCACGUGUGGGCUGAUGAGUGUACCCGAAGAAAAAGCAUCGGCUAACUCCGUGCCAGCAGCCGCGGUAAUACGGAGGAUGCGAGCGUUAUCCGGAUUUAUUGGGUUUAAAGGGUGCGUAGGCGGACAGUCAAGUCAGCGGUAAAAAUGCGGUGCUCAACGCCGUACAGCCGUUGAUACUGGCAGUCUUGAGUGGGCGAGAAGUAUGCGGAAUGCGUUGUGUAGCGGUGAAAUGCAUAGAUAUCACGCAGAACUCCGAUGGCGAAGGCAGCAUACCGGCGCCCUACUGACGCUGAGGCACGAAAGCGUGGGUAUCGAACAGGAUUAGAUACCCGUGUAGUC